RNAcentral lists this ribosomal RNA (542 nucleotides) under Fusarium solani. Its description in RNAcentral is "eukaryotic LSU rRNA". The stretch from base 140 to 293 matches the Rfam family "5.8S ribosomal RNA". The record is from RNAcentral. Lineage: Eukaryota; Fungi; Ascomycota; Sordariomycetes; Hypocreales; Nectriaceae.
UCACUCAUCACCCUGUGACUUACCUAAACGUUGCUUCGGCGGGAAUAGACGGCCCUGUAAAACGGGCCGCCCCCGCCAGAGGACCCUUAACUCUGUUUCUUAUAAUGUUUCUUCUGAGUAAAACAAGCAAAUAAAUUAAAACUUUCAACAACGGAUCUCUUGGCUCUGGCAUCGAUGAAGAACGCAGCGAAAUGCGAUAAGUAAUGUGAAUUGCAGAAUUCAGUGAAUCAUCGAAUCUUUGAACGCACAUUGCGCCCGCCAGUAUUCUGGCGGGCAUGCCUGUUCGAGCGUCAUUACAACCCUCAGGCCCCCGGGCCUGGCGUUGGGGAUCGGCGGAGCGCCCCUCGUGGGCGCACGCCGUCCCCCAAAUACAGUGGCGGUCCCGCCGCAGCUUCCAUCGCGUAGUAGCUAACACCUCGCGACUGGAGAGCGGCGCGGCCACGCCGUAAAACACCCCAACUCUUCUGAAGUUGACCUCGAAUCAGGUAGGAAUACCCGCUGAACUUAAGCAUAUCAAUAAGCGGAGGGAAAAGAAAACGACA